Molecule: transfer RNA, 80 nt
Filed under: Streptomyces chromofuscus
Lineage: Bacteria; Bacillati; Actinomycetota; Actinomycetes; Kitasatosporales; Streptomycetaceae
Description: tRNA-Trp
Rfam family: tRNA
About the family: Transfer RNA (tRNA) molecules are approximately 80 nucleotides in length. Their secondary structure includes four short double-helical elements and three loops (D, anti-codon, and T loops).
Source: RNAcentral
GCGGGGCCGUAGCGCAGAGGCAGACGCGCCCGGUCUCCAAAACCGGGAGCACGCUGGUUCGAAUCCAGCCGCCCCGCCCC